This 481-nucleotide long non-coding RNA is filed under the name Equus asinus (donkey). Its description in RNAcentral is "lncRNA (ENSEASG00005031951.1)". The record is from RNAcentral. Lineage: Eukaryota; Metazoa; Chordata; Mammalia; Perissodactyla; Equidae.
GUAGGGCCUGAGAGCUCCCCCUCUUGGCCUCCUGACUCCAAUUUAAUGAGGUUUCUGUUUGUUAAUUUGACAGUGAGGUCCUGCAAGGGCCUGGCAUCCUGGGGUCAGUAGUCACGAGGUUGCCCUGUCGGCACAGCGAUGGAUGGACACAGCAGGUCGUAGGUCUGCUGUCUCGGUGGACACAGCAGGUGGCAGAUCCAUGGUCUCAACCACGGUGGUCACAGCAAUUCCCAAGGGACCCUGGAAAUCCCCCGCUGGGGAUGUCAAGGGUCAUACACAGCCGGCCACUGGUGGGAGACUGGAACGCAGUGGGGGCACGGCGGGCGCUUUCCUCUCGGUUCUCUCGUGGUCUAGCAGCACAUUCCCUGGAGAUGACAGAUUGGGGGACACUCCAUGUCCCUUAGCACCCUCCUUCGGGCACUGCAGGUGAGCACUGUGGUUUUGACCUGGCUUGCAGGUGACUUUCUUGUGAACAUCUCCG